This 414-nucleotide ribosomal RNA is filed under the name uncultured microorganism. RNAcentral describes it as "bacterial SSU rRNA". It matches the Rfam family "Archaeal small subunit ribosomal RNA", at positions 459 to 872 of the family's 1478-position model. The record is from RNAcentral.
CAGCCGCCGCGGUAAUACCGGCGGCCCGAGUGGCGGUCACUAUUAUUGGGCUUAAAGCGUCCGUAGCCGGGUUGGGAAGUCCUCCGGGAAAUCUGGCCGCUUAAAGGUCAGAAUGCCGGAGGAUACUCCCAGCCUAGGGAGCGGGCGAGGCCGAGGGGAUUCCCGGAGUAGGGGGGAAAUCCUAUAAUCCCGGGAGGACCACCUGUGGCGAAGGCGCUCGGCGGGAACGCGUCCGACGGUGGGGGACGAAGGCCAGGGGAGCAAACCGGAUUAGAUACCCGGGUAGUCCUGGCUGUAAACGAUGCGGACUUUGUGUCGGACAAGCUAUGAGCUUGUCCGGUGCCGGAGGGAAACCGUUAAGUCCGCCGCCUGGGGAGUACGGCCGCAAGGCUGAAACUUAAAGGAAUUGGCGGG